AACGCAUAUUGCGCCCUCUGGUAUUCCGGAGGGCAUGCCUGUCCGAGCGUCAUUACCACCUUCAAGCGCAGCUUGGUUGUUGAGCCAAUUGUUCUUUUAAUGGACAGGCUUGAAAUGCAGUGACGAUGUCGAGUCUUGAUGCCCGAGCGUAUGGAGCUCUGUCACACGCUUUAGUGGCUCAGCCGGCAUUCUGUCGAUUGUUUAUUUGGGCCUAAAAACCUAAGAUUUAACCUCGGAUCAGGUAAGGAUACCCGCUGAACUUAA
This 264-nucleotide unclassified non-coding RNA is filed under the name uncultured fungus. Its description in RNAcentral is "partial contains 5.8S ribosomal RNA, internal transcribed spacer 2, and large subunit ribosomal RNA". The stretch from base 1 to 52 matches the Rfam family "5.8S ribosomal RNA", at positions 103 to 154 of the family's 154-position model. The record is from RNAcentral. Lineage: Eukaryota; Fungi.